Molecule: ribosomal RNA, 149 nt
Filed under: Enterococcus faecalis
Lineage: Bacteria; Bacillati; Bacillota; Bacilli; Lactobacillales; Enterococcaceae
Description: partial 16S ribosomal RNA
Rfam family: Bacterial small subunit ribosomal RNA
Source: RNAcentral
UUAUUAUGAGAGUUUGAUCCUGGCUCAGGACGAACGCUGGCGGCGUGCCUAAUACAUGCAAGUCGAACGCUUCUUUCCUUCCGAGUGCUUGCACUCAAUUGGAAAGAGGAGUGGCGGACGGGUGAGUAACACGUGGGUAACCUACCCAU